RNAcentral lists this ribosomal RNA (565 nucleotides) under uncultured archaeon. Its description in RNAcentral is "partial 16S ribosomal RNA". It matches the Rfam family "Bacterial small subunit ribosomal RNA", at positions 342 to 925 of the family's 1533-position model. The record is from RNAcentral.
CGGGGCGCAGCAGGGGGGAAUUUUGCGCAAUGGGGGGAACCUUGACGCAGCGACGCCGCGUGGGUGAUGAAGGCCUUCGGGUUGUAAAGCCCUGUUGGGGGGGAAGAUAAUGACGGUACCCCCCGAGGAAGCCCCGGCUAACUACGUGCCAGCAGCCGCGGUAAGACGUAGGGGGCGAGCGUUGUCCGGAAUUACUGGGCGUAAAGGGCGUGUAGGCGGCUUUUCAAGUCGGCCGUGAAAUUCCCCGGCUUAACCGGGGGGGUGCAGUCGAAACUGAUGGGCUUGAGUGCAGGAGAGGGUGGUGGGAUUCCCGGUGUAGCGGUGACAUGCGUAGAUAUCGGGAGGAACACCGGUGGCGAAGGCGACUUCCUGGCCUGUUACUGACGCUGAGGCGCGAGCUGGGGGAGCAAACAGGAUUAGAUACCCUGGUAGUCCCAGCUGUAAACUCUGGGUACUAGGUGUGGGGGGCUUCGAUGCCCUCUGUGCCGUAGUUAACGCAUUAAGUACCCCGCCUGGGGAGUACGAUCGCAAGGUUGAAACUCAAAGGAAUUGGCGGGGGAGCACA